UCUGACGCUAGCACUGGGCAGAGCGAUGGGAGAGGGCUGCAGCUGCCGCUCAGAGCCUGCAGGCCGCUAAUUUUAGCGACAGGGGCUGCUGAGGAGCAUGAAGACAGGCUCGAACGGCACCGCUCGCUCUUCUAGUUACAGGGAAGGAUUAACAUCCCACUGAACCUAAGAAUGUAUAACCUUGGUGAUCUGAACUGAACCCCAACCUUCCUGUUAACUGAAAUGCGUUUCGUGUCCCCCAGUGUCUAUUAAUUGUAGCAUUCUCCUUUUGGACCAGCUCUCACACUUUGACCCUACCUCCACUCCUCAACCAUUUUGUCUCUGAGCAUAUUGCAAUAUCUGUUUCCCCAGGCUGUUUGAGAAGGGUGCAAGUUCCUGACUCACCUCCUGAAAGGUGAGAUCAGAGUUUGUUAUAUUUCGUAAGAUAUUUUUGAUGUUUUUCAAUGUUAACCCACUAAUAGCAUUGUUGGACGUGGAUGAACAUAAGGUACACAUUCUAAA
Non-coding RNA from Pelodiscus sinensis (Chinese soft-shelled turtle), 501 nucleotides. The record is from RefSeq and is a predicted model, not a curated record. Lineage: Eukaryota; Metazoa; Chordata; Testudines; Trionychidae.